Molecule: long non-coding RNA, 291 nt
Filed under: Mustela putorius furo (domestic ferret)
Lineage: Eukaryota; Metazoa; Chordata; Mammalia; Carnivora; Mustelidae
Description: lncRNA (ENSMPUG00000032059.1)
Source: RNAcentral
AUGCUGCCUCCAGUCCCCAGGAGGGCCUCGGAGAUAGCCCCAGAGGGAAGCGGAGGGGGGGGACCCGGCAGCUUUCUCUGCAGCCUGCUCUCCCAAACCAGCUCUCCCCAGAACAAAAACCACCCUGUUAAGAACCAGAAAGAGCCAGAAAAACACGCCUCCGGACAAAGCGAGACUAUUCAGCGAUCCCAGAGCUGUCUCUUCCCACCCUUGGGCUCAUUGACCCAACAGCUCACGCAGAGUCUGGAAGGAAGGACGGUCUGCGGAAGGAGGAAGAUUGCCGACCUCUAA